ACUCAAAGGAAUAGACGGGGGCCCGCACAAGCGGUGGAGUAUGUGGUUUAAUUCGAUGCAACGCGAAGAACCUUACCUACUCUUGACAUGGUGGGAAUCUUGCAGAGAUGCGAGAGUGCCGAAAGGAACCCACACACAGGUGCUGCAUGGCUGUCGUCAGCUCGUGUCGUGAGAUGUUGGGUUAAGUCCCGCAACGAGCGCAACCCUUGCCUCUAGUUACCAUCAUUCAGUUGGGGACUCUAGAGGGACUGCUGAUCUAUGAUCGGAGGAAGGGGGGGAUGACGUCAAGUCAUCAUGGCCCUUACGAGUAGGGCUACACACGUACUACAAUGGUCGGUACAGAGGGAUGCAAUAUCGCAAGAUGGAGCGAACCCCACAAAGCUGAUCGUAGUCCGGAUUGAGGUCUGCAACUCGACCUCAUGAAGCCGGAAUCGCUAGUAAUCGCAGAUCAGAAUGCUGCGGUGAAUACGUUCCCGGGCCUUGUACACACCGCCCGU
RNAcentral lists this ribosomal RNA (497 nucleotides) under uncultured bacterium. RNAcentral's name for it is "partial 16S ribosomal RNA". It matches the Rfam family "Bacterial small subunit ribosomal RNA", at positions 899 to 1397 of the family's 1533-position model. The record is from RNAcentral.